This 406-nucleotide ribosomal RNA is filed under the name uncultured bacterium. RNAcentral's name for it is "partial 16S ribosomal RNA". It matches the Rfam family "Bacterial small subunit ribosomal RNA", at positions 30 to 526 of the family's 1533-position model. The record is from RNAcentral.
AUUGAACGCUGGCGGCAGGCCUAACACAUGCAAGUCGAACGAGUGGCGGACGGGUGGGUAAUGUCUGGGAAACUGCCUGAUGGAGGGGGAUAACUACUGGAAACGGUAGCUAAUACCGCAUACCAUCAGAUGUGCCCAGAUGGGAUUAGCUUGUUGGUGGGGUAACGGCGCACAAAGACGACGAUCCCUAGCUGGUCUGCGAGGAUGACCAGCCACACUGGACUUGGGACACGGUCAAGGCUCCGACGGGAGGCAGCAGUGGGGAAUAUGGCACAAUGGGCGAAAGCCUGAUGCAGCAAUGCGGCGUGUAUGAAGAGGGCCUUCGGGUUGUAAAGUCCUUUCAGGGGGGAGGCGUUACCCGCAGAAGAAGCACCGGCUAACUCCGUGCCAGCAGCCGCGGUAAUUC